ACUGCGCGCGAACCAAACACGGCGAGGAUAAAGCAAGAUGGCGUCUGACGGUGAAGACAGUUCAGUGUUCUUAAUCUGUGCCUCCAUGUACACAUAUAUGUCCUUUAUUACACUCUAGUAAAUAGAGUAAACAUCGUUAAUAACUGUUUGCAUCCGGUUAUAUUAGUCUGAGCGCACUUUGAUGCUUCUCCAGCUAGCUUAGCUUGCUAGUUAGCUUAGCUUGUUAGCUGCUAACAAAGAGAGGCGGAAGUGAUCAAAACACAUCGCUAAGCAGAGAUCAAGUGUGAGUGUAAAGUGUUGUGAUUGUGUGAAAAUGUGCGAAAGAACCAUAGCAGAGUACGAGGAGGAACUUUGUCCAACAAAAGAGGAGAAGGAGCGACAACAUCAAAAACAUCAAGUUGUGUUACACAGAACAGGGACACCAGUCACUGGCAUCUUGGUGACAUCAACCUCCUCCAGUCCUUCAAGAUGCUCUCCCUGCUGACUGAUGCUGUGUUCCUCCUUUCCCUCUUUAAUGUGAGGGUCUUCACAGAGACAACAGUCAGUGGAAACUUGCUGAGAUCCGCCUCCUCCUGCCCUGGAAGAAACUCUUCCUCCUGAGUAACCCAGAGAUCCUCCUCUUCCUCUUUAAUGUGGGGGGGCUGUGGAUCCUCCUGCUGCUGAAGGGGACGUUCUUCUUGACCAGCGUUCAUCUGUUGGACGUCCGCAAGACAACACAAACAAACUUCAGCUCAGAUGUGUCAAAUAUUUUUUAGUCUAUCAAAUAUAAUAUUUUCCAAGUGGACUGACAGCACUUUGUGGUGAUGUUCUUCUACACAUGGAAUAAUCAUCAGUUAUUGAUUAUUAUGAAUUGUGUAAUUGAUCUUGCACUUCAAGUUCAUAUGUGAGCAAAGGCAGGUGGCCAAAUACUUUUGGCAAUAUAAAAUAUAUAUAUAUAUAUAAUUUUUUUUAAAUAAUAUUUGGGUACCUCAUGCUUCGAUUAUAAACAAAAUAUUGAUGCAUGUUCAAUUUGUGUGGAGUAUAUUAAAGCCAUUUUUAAUAUCUAACAUUUAUUUCAUUAAAUAUUUAUUUUUGUCUGAUUGAAUGAGCAUUAAUUGCUUACAAUUGUACAAAUAGUAAUAACAAGCAUCAGUUGAUUUAAUUUCCAGGAUAUGUGCGCCAGAAUGCAGCUGACACCCAAAAAGGGACGAGCGGUAUGAACACGGAUGGGUGGAUUUCAUCAAGGUACUAAAAGUGCGUGCAAACAACAUAAUUUGUAUUUAUCGCUAAUAGAGUUAGCACCAACACAAAGUAGACUACUGCAAUGUACGUGUAAUACAUUAUAUUACAGGAGUGGUUCUUAACCUUGUUGGAGGUACCGAACCCCGGCAGUUUCAUGUGCGCAUUCACAGAACCCUUCUUUAGUGUAAAAUAAAAUGUUUUUUCUUAAAUUAAUGAUGUUAUUAUAUUAAAGAAAUACUAAUAAAGAUAUAGCUUACAAACAGAAAGUUACAGGAAAGUACACAUGAUCCCAUGUUUACAUCUCAUUGUGCAACAUGUGAAUGUUUUAGUGGGACCUAAAUGCGACAACUGAAAGGGGUACAAAUUAUCUCCAACCCCACCUUGUACAGAGCUCAUGAAAAACUAUGUCGUUGUUUUUUGUCAUUGUAAGUGUGCCAAAACACUUAUAUUAGAAAAUAAUCUCAUGGA
Molecule: long non-coding RNA, 1689 nt
Organism: Nerophis ophidion (straightnose pipefish)
Lineage: Eukaryota; Metazoa; Chordata; Actinopteri; Syngnathiformes; Syngnathidae
Exons: 3
Source: RefSeq, a predicted model, not a curated record